RNAcentral lists this ribosomal RNA (851 nucleotides) under Bacillus pumilus. RNAcentral describes it as "bacterial SSU rRNA". It matches the Rfam family "Bacterial small subunit ribosomal RNA", at positions 39 to 875 of the family's 1533-position model. Lineage: Bacteria; Bacillati; Bacillota; Bacilli; Caryophanales; Bacillaceae. The record is from RNAcentral.
GGGGAGAGCGGGCUAUCUGCAGUCGAGCGGACAGAAGGGAGCUUGCUCCCGGAUGUUAGCGGCGGACGGGUGAGUAACACGUGGGUAACCUGCCUGUAAGACUGGGAUAACUCCGGGAAACCGGAGCUAAUACCGGAUAGUUCCUUGAACCGCAUGGUUCAAGGAUGAAAGACGGUUUCGGCUGUCACUUACAGAUGGACCCGCGGCGCAUUAGCUAGUUGGUGAGGUAAUGGCUCACCAAGGCGACGAUGCGUAGCCGACCUGAGAGGGUGAUCGGCCACACUGGGACUGAGACACGGCCCAGACUCCUACGGGAGGCAGCAGUAGGGAAUCUUCCGCAAUGGACGAAAGUCUGACGGAGCAACGCCGCGUGAGUGAUGAAGGUUUUCGGAUCGUAAAGCUCUGUUGUUAGGGAAGAACAAGUGCGAGAGUAACUGCUCGCACCUUGACGGUACCUAACCAGAAAGCCACGGCUAACUACGUGCCAGCAGCCGCGGUAAUACGUAGGUGGCAAGCGUUGUCCGGAAUUAUUGGGCGUAAAGGGCUCGCAGGCGGUUUCUUAAGUCUGAUGUGAAAGCCCCCGGCUCAACCGGGGAGGGUCAUUGGAAACUGGGAAACUUGAGUGCAGAAGAGGAGAGUGGAAUUCCACGUGUAGCGGUGAAAUGCGUAGAGAUGUGGAGGAACACCAGUGGCGAAGGCGACUCUCUGGUCUGUAACUGACGCUGAGGAGCGAAAGCGUGNGGAGCGAACAGGAUUAGAUACCCUGGUAGUCCACGCCGUAACGAUGAGUGCUAAGUGUUAGGGGGUUUCCGCCCUUAGUGCUGCAGCUAACGCAUUAAGCACUCCGCCUG